RNAcentral lists this ribosomal RNA (489 nucleotides) under uncultured bacterium. RNAcentral's name for it is "partial 16S ribosomal RNA". It matches the Rfam family "Bacterial small subunit ribosomal RNA", at positions 30 to 507 of the family's 1533-position model. The record is from RNAcentral.
UUGAACGCUGGCGGCAGGCCUAACACAUGCACGUCGAACGGUAACAGGAAGAAGCUUGCUUCUUUGCUGACGAGUGGCGGACGGGUGAGUAAUGUCUGGGAAACUGCCUGAUGGAGGGGGAUAACUACUGGAAACGGUAGCUAAUACCGCAUAACGUCGCAAGACCAAAGAGGGGGACCUUCGGGCCUCUUGCCAUCGGAUGUGCCCAGAUGGGAUUAGCUAGUAGGUGGGGUAACGGCUCACCUAGGCGACGAUCCCUAGCUGGUCUGAGAGGAUGACCAGCCACACUGGAACUGAGACACGGUCCAGACUCCUACGGGAGGCAGCAGUGGGGAAUAUUGCACAAUGGGCGCAAGCCUGAUGCAGCCAUGCCGCGUGUAUGAAGAAGGCCUUCGGGUUGUAAAGUACUUUCAGCGGGGAGGAAGGGAGUAAAGUUAAUACCUUUGCUCAUUGACGUUACCCGCAGAAGAAGCACCGGCUAACUCCGUG